This 460-nucleotide ribosomal RNA is filed under the name uncultured bacterium. RNAcentral describes it as "partial 16S ribosomal RNA". It matches the Rfam family "Bacterial small subunit ribosomal RNA", at positions 338 to 795 of the family's 1533-position model. The record is from RNAcentral.
CCUACGGGAGGCAGCAGUGAGGAAUAUUGGUCAAUGGACGCAAGUCUGAACCAGCCAUGCCGCGUGCAGGAAGACGGCUCUAUGAGUUGUAAACUGCUUUUGUACGAGGGUAAACGCAGAUACGCGUAUCUGUCUGAAAGUAUCUUACGAAUAAGGAUCGGCUAACUCCGUGCCAGCAGCCGCGGUAAUACGGAGGAUUCAAGCGUUAUCCGGAUUUAUUGGGUUUAAAGGGUGCGUAGGCGGUCGGAUAAGUUAGAGGUGAAAUCCCGAGGCUCAACUUCGGAAUUGCCUCUGAUACUGUUCGGCUAGAGAGUAGGUGCGGUAGGCGGAAUGUAUGGUGUAGCGGUGAAAUGCUUAGAGAUCAUACAGAACACCGAUUGCGAAGGCAGCAUACCAAGCUACUUCUGACGUUGAGGCACGAAAGCGUGGGGAGCAAACAGGAUUAGAUACCCCUGUAGUC